Conger conger (European conger) is the source of this 591-nucleotide long non-coding RNA. RefSeq lists it as uncharacterized. NCBI's taxonomy places the organism in Eukaryota, Metazoa, Chordata, Actinopteri, Anguilliformes, Congridae. The record is from RefSeq and is a predicted model, not a curated record. The transcript is spliced from 4 exons.
CAGUCAUUAGCUGUGCAGCUGCGCAGGUUGCCGAGGCAACCUUCCCGGUGAGGCGCCGUUUCCUCAAACAAACUGCGCUGUUCCGCCCGCCUCAUUGACUUCGCAUGCCCAGGUUCACACAGAGGGAGCAAUGACUGCGUUAUGUCCCCGGUAGCCUUCUGAAUUCAUCUGGAUUAAUGUCAAAACAAAGAACGAAAUAACCUUGUAAAGUCACCAUCAGUAGCAUUGCAUACGCACAAUCUGCUCGACUCUCACCAAUCCCGCUUCUGAUCCGGGCACUCGACGGAGACUGCUAUCCUUGCUGUGAUGGAGGUGCUUGCCACUGCAAGAGCCUCAUCCCUCUCCUCUGUCCUGAUCCUCCUCAACCUGUCUGCGGCAUUUCACACGGUCAACCACCAACUCCUGAUUUCCUCCCUGGCUGAGAUGGGCAUUUCUGGGACUGCCCUCUCUUGGUUUGCAUCCCAUCUAGCAGAUAGGUCAAUUCUAAAAUAUCUGCCUGCCUGAGUUCGACAUCUCAUCAGGGAUGGCCAGGCAACACCCGAGGCUCAACCUCAACAAGACGGAGCUGCUCUUCAUCCAUCCCAGAGCCUC